This 491-nucleotide ribosomal RNA is filed under the name uncultured bacterium. Its description in RNAcentral is "bacterial SSU rRNA". It matches the Rfam family "Bacterial small subunit ribosomal RNA", at positions 21 to 507 of the family's 1533-position model. The record is from RNAcentral.
GGCUCAGGAUGAACGCUAGCGGCAGGCUUAAUACAUGCAAGUCGUGGGGCAGCAUGUGUAGCAAUACUUGAUGGCGACCGGCAAACGGGUGAGGAACACGUACACAACCUUCCUUCAAGCGGGGAAUAGCCCAGAGAAAUUUGGAUUAAUACCCCAUAAUAUAUUUGAUAAGGCAUCUUAUUAAUAUUAAAGCUUCGGCACUUGAUGAUGGGUGUGCGGCUGAUUAGAUAGUUGGCGGGGUAACGGCCCACCAAGUCUACGAUCAGUAGCUGAUGUGAGAGCAUGAUCAGCCACACGGGCACUGAGACACGGGCCCGACUCCUACGGGAGGCAGCAGUAAGGAAUAUUGGACAAUGGACGAAAGUCUGAUCCAGCCAUGCCGCGUGAAGGAUUAAGGUCCUCUGGAUUGUAAACUUCUUUUAUAUGGGACGAAAAAGGGCAUUCUUGUUCACUUGACGGUACCAUAUGAAUAAGCACCGGCUAACUCCGUG